Molecule: ribosomal RNA, 301 nt
Filed under: uncultured bacterium
Lineage: Bacteria
Description: partial 16S ribosomal RNA
Rfam family: Bacterial small subunit ribosomal RNA
Source: RNAcentral
CAGCCGCCGCGGGAAUACGUAGGUGGCAAGCGUUGUCCGGAAUUAUUGGGCGUAAAGCGAGCGCAGGCGGUUCCUUAAGUCUGAUGUGAAAGCCCCCGGCUCAACCGGGGAGGGUCAUUGGAAACUGGGGAACUCAAGUGCAGAAGAGGAGAGUGGAAUUCCAUGUGUAGCGGUGAAAUGCGUAGAUAUAUGGAGGAACACCAGUGGCGAAGGCGACUCUCUGGUCUGUAACUGACGCUGAGGCUCGAAAGCGUGGGUAGCAAACAGGAUUAGAUACCCCUGUAGUCCCUGUCUCUUAUAC